CGUGUGUGAAGAAGGCCCUCGGGUUGUAAAGCACUUUCAGCGAGGAAGAACGCCUAGCGGUUAAUACCCGCUAGGAAAGACAUCACUCGCAGAAGAAGCACCGGCUAACUCCGUGCCAGCAGCCGCGGUAAUACGGAGGGUGCAAGCGUUAAUCGGAAUUACUGGGCGUAAAGCGCGCGUAGGUGGCUUGAUAAGCCGGUUGUGAAAGCCCCGGGCUCAACCUGGGAACGGCAUCCGGAACUGUCAAGCUAGAGUGCAGGAGAGGAAGGUAGAAUUCCCGGUGUAGCGGUGAAAUGCGUAGAGAUCGGGAGGAAUACCAGUGGCGAAGGCGGCCUUCUGGACUGACACUGACACUGAGGUGCGAAAGCGUGGGUAGCAAACAGGAUUAGAUACCCUGGUAGUCCACGCCGUAAACGAUGUCGACCAGCCGUUGGGUGCCUAGCGCACUUUGUGGCGAAGUUAACGCGAUAAGUCGACCGCCUGGGGAGUACGGCCGCAAGGUUAAAACUCAAAUGAAUUGACGGGGGCCCGCACAAGCGGUGGAGCAUGUGGUUUAAUUCGAUGCAACGCGAAGAACCUUACCUACUCUUGACAUCCUGCGAAUUUGGUAGAGAUACCUUAGUGCCUUCGGGAACGCAGAGACAGGUGCUGCAUGGCUGUCGUCAGCUCGUGUUGUGAAAUGUUGGGUUAAGUCCCGUAACGAGCGCAACCCUUGUCCUU
Molecule: ribosomal RNA, 720 nt
Filed under: Halomonas sp. M8
Lineage: Bacteria; Pseudomonadati; Pseudomonadota; Gammaproteobacteria; Oceanospirillales; Halomonadaceae
Description: bacterial SSU rRNA
Rfam family: Bacterial small subunit ribosomal RNA
Source: RNAcentral